Molecule: ribosomal RNA, 845 nt
Filed under: Xylaria sp. M20
Lineage: Eukaryota; Fungi; Ascomycota; Sordariomycetes; Xylariales; Xylariaceae
Description: SSU rRNA
Rfam family: Eukaryotic small subunit ribosomal RNA
Source: RNAcentral
CUCAUUAAAUCAGUUAUCGUUUAUUUGAUAGUACCUUACUACUUGGAUAACCGUGGUAAUUCUAGAGCUAAUACAUGCUAAAAACCCCGACUUACGAAGGGGUGUAUUUAUUAGAUUAAAAACCAAUGCCCUUCGGGGCUCCUUGGUGAUUCAUAAUAACUUCUCGAAUCGCAUGGCCUUGCGCCGGCGAUGGUUCAUUCAAAUUUCUGCCCUAUCAACUUUCGAUGGCAGGGUCUUGGCCUGCCAUGGUUACAACGGGUAACGGAGGGUUAGGGCUCGACCCCGGAGAAGGAGCCUGAGAAACGGCUACUACAUCCAAGGAAGGCAGCAGGCGCGCAAAUUACCCAAUCCCGAUACGGGGAGGUAGUGACAAUAAAUACUGAUACAGGGCUCUUUUGGGUCUUGUAAUUGGAAUGAGUACAAUUUAAAUCCCUUAACGAGGAACAAUUGGAGGGCAAGUCUGGUGCCAGCAGCCGCGGUAAUUCCAGCUCCAAUAGCGUAUAUUAAAGUUGUUGCAGUUAAAAAGCUCGUAGUUGAACCUUGGGCCUGGCUGGCCGGUCCGCCUCACCGCGUGCACUGGUUCGGCCGGGCCUUUCCCUCUGGGGAACCCCAUGCCCUUCACUGGGUGUGGUGGGGAACCAGGACUUUUACUGUGAAAAAAUUAGAGUGUUCAAAGCAGGCCUAUGCUCGAAUACAUCAGCAUGGAAUAAUAGAAUAGGACGUGCGGUUCUAUUUUGUUGGUUUCUAGGACCGCCGUAAUGAUUAAUAGGGACAGUCGGGGGCAUCAGUAUUCAAUUGUCAGAGGUGAAAUUCUUGGAUUUAUUGAAGACUAACUACUGCGAAAG